This 228-nucleotide long non-coding RNA is filed under the name Lathyrus oleraceus (garden pea). Its description in RNAcentral is "Pisum sativum (pea) long non-coding RNA (PSAT_LNC036846)". Lineage: Eukaryota; Viridiplantae; Streptophyta; Magnoliopsida; Fabales; Fabaceae. The record is from RNAcentral.
GACACCCGUGAGUGGGGCGGGAAUGAAUAAUUACAGGUACUGUUGGUGACUUGAUCUGUUGGUGACCGUAUCCUGUUGGUGACUUCUGGUUGGUCAUGUUGGUGACUUGGUUCAGAAGUAUGGGUUUCUGAUGAUCUUGGUUUGUGGUUUCCGGUUCCAAAUUCGUGCCGAAGUUCUGAUCCUGUGCCUCGUGAUACACAGCCAACCAGUCAUAAUUGCAUCAUUUGC